This 285-nucleotide ribosomal RNA is filed under the name uncultured bacterium. Its description in RNAcentral is "partial 16S ribosomal RNA". It matches the Rfam family "Bacterial small subunit ribosomal RNA", at positions 28 to 313 of the family's 1533-position model. The record is from RNAcentral.
GACGAACGCUGGCGGCGUGCUUAACACAUGCAAGUCGAGCGGUAAGGCCCUUUCGGGGGUACACGAGCGGCGAACGGAUGAGUAACACGUGGGUGACCUGCCCUCAGCUCUGGGAUAAGCCUGGGAAACCGGGUCUAAUACCGGAUAUGACUCCAUGACGCAUGUUGUGGGGUGGAAAGCCUUGUGCGGCUGAGGAUGGGCCCGCGGCCUAUCAGCGUUGUUGGUGGGGNGAUGGCCUACCAAGGCGACGACGGGUAGCCGGCCUGAGAGGGCGACCGGCCACAC